Molecule: ribosomal RNA, 450 nt
Filed under: uncultured bacterium
Lineage: Bacteria
Description: bacterial SSU rRNA
Rfam family: Bacterial small subunit ribosomal RNA
Source: RNAcentral
AACGAACGCUGGCGGCAUGCCUAACACAUGCAAGUCGAACGAGACCUUCGGGUCUAGUGGCGCACGGGUGCGUAACGCGUGGGGAUCUGCCCUUUGCUUCGGAAUAACAGUUAGAAAUGACUGCUAAUACCGGAUGAUGACUUCGGUCCAAAGAUUUAUCGGCAAAGGAUGAACCCGCGUAGGAUUAGCUAGUUGGUGGGGUAAAGGCCUACCAAGGCGACGAUCCUUAGCUGGUCUGAGAGGAUGAUCAGCCACACUGGGACUGAGACACGGCCCAGACUCCUACGGGAGGCAGCAGUGGGGAAUAUUGGACAAUGGGCGAAAGCCUGAUCCAGCAAUGCCGCGUGAGUGAUGAAGGCCUUAGGGUUGUAAAGCUCUUUUACCCGGGAUGAUAAUGACAGUACCGGGAGAAUAAGCUCCGGCUAACUCCGUGCCAGCAGCCGCGGUAAU